UAGUGGCAGACGGGUGAGUAACGCGUGGGAACGUACCCUUUGGUUCGGAACAACACAGGGAAACUUGAGCUAAUACCGGAUAAGCCCUUAGGGGCAAAGAUUUAUCGCCCAAGGAUGGGCCCGCGUCGGAUUAGCUAGUUGGUGAGGUAAUGGCUCACCAAGGCGACGAUCAGUACCUGGUCUGAGAGGAUGAUCAGCCACACUGGGACUGAGACACGGCCCAGACUCCUACGGGAGGCAGCAGUGGGGAAUAUUGCACAAUGGGCGCAAGCCUGAUCCAGCCAUGCCGCGUGAGUGAUGAAGGCCUUAGGGUUGUAAAGCUCUUUUACCCGGGAAGAUAAUGACGGUACCGGAAGAAUAAGCUCC
Molecule: ribosomal RNA, 366 nt
Filed under: uncultured bacterium
Lineage: Bacteria
Description: bacterial SSU rRNA
Rfam family: Bacterial small subunit ribosomal RNA
Source: RNAcentral